CUUGGUCAUUUAGAGGAAGUAACAGUCGUAACAAGGUUUCCGUAGGUGAACCUGCGGAAGGAUCAUUAACAAUCAUGUGUUGCUAGGCGAGAGCUUGGUGACAAUAUUAGCUCGCGGGCAACCGCUUGCGCAUAUUUACGCUCGUAUAGUUUGACUGAGAAAACAUCUGUGACAAAAAGUACAACUUUUAACAAUGGAUCUCUUGGCUCUUGCAACGAUGAAGAACGCAGUAAAGUGCGAUAUCUAGUGCGAUUUGCAUGGAUCUGUGAGUCAUCGAGUCUUUGAACGCAACUUGCAUCUCUGGGAUUUCCCUGGUGGUAUGUCCGUUCAAGAACCAUAAAACCAUUCUUGCUCAUAUGCGUAUGUGGCAGACAUGGCUGGCGCGCUGGCUGGCUGAAAGGAUGCUCUAUGUUUUGGCUGUGUGCUAGGACCGCAAGGUCGGGUCGCAGUCACUUGACAAUGGUCUCAAAUCAGGCAAGGGUACCCGCUGAACUUAAGCAUAUCAAUAAGCGGAGGA
RNAcentral lists this ribosomal RNA (517 nucleotides) under uncultured fungus. RNAcentral describes it as "eukaryotic LSU rRNA". The stretch from base 183 to 337 matches the Rfam family "5.8S ribosomal RNA". The record is from RNAcentral. Lineage: Eukaryota; Fungi.